UACGAACGCUGGCGGCGUGCUUAGCACAUGCAAGUCGAGCGGAAAGGCCCUGCUUUUGUGGGGUGCUCGAGUGGCGAACGGGUGAGUAACACGUGAGUAACCUGCCCUUGACUUUGGGAUAACUUCAGGAAACUGGGGCUAAUACCGGAUAGGAGCUCCUGCUGCAUGGUGGGGGUUGGAAAGUUUCGGCGGUUGGGGAUGGACUCGCGGCUUAUCAGCUUGUUGGUGGGGUAGUGGCUUACCAAGGCUUUGACGGGUAGCCGGCCUGAGAGGGUGACCGGCCACAUUGGGACUGAGAUACGGCCCAGACUCCUACGGGAGGCAGCAGUGGGGAAUAUUGCACAAUGGGCGGAAGCCUGAUGCAGCAACGCCGCGUGCGGGAUGACGGCCUUCGGGUUGUAAACCGCUUUCGCCUGUGACGAAGCGUGAGUGACGGUAAUGGGUAAAGAAGCACCGGCUAACUACGUG
This 468-nucleotide ribosomal RNA is filed under the name uncultured bacterium. RNAcentral describes it as "partial 16S ribosomal RNA". It matches the Rfam family "Bacterial small subunit ribosomal RNA", at positions 29 to 507 of the family's 1533-position model. The record is from RNAcentral.